CAGUCGACGGAAUGAGAGAGCUUGCUCUUUCAUUUAGUGGCGCACGGGUGAGUAACGCGUAGAUAAUCUGCCUUGGAAUCUGGGAUAACAUCUCGAAAGGGGUGCUAAUACCUGAUAAGCCCACGGGGACGUGAGUCUUUGCGGGAAAAGGGGGCCUCUGAAUAUGCUCCUGUUUCAAGAUGAGUCUGCGUACCAUUAGCUAGUUGGUAGGGUAAUGGCCUACCAAGGCUACGAUGGUUAGCUGGUCUGAGAGGAUGAUCAGCCACACUGGAACUGAGACACGGUCCAGACUCCUACGGGAGGCAGCAGUGGGGAAUUUUGCGCAAUGGGGGAAACCCUGACGCAGCAACGCCGCGUGAGUGAUGAAGGCUUUCGGGUCGUAAAGCUCUGUCAAGAGAGACGAAGUGUAGUGAGGUUAAUACCCCUAUUACUUGACGGUACCUCUGAAGGAAGCACCGGCUAACUCCGUGCCAGCAGCCGCGGUAAUACGGAGGGUGCAAGCGUUGUUCGGAUUUAUUGGGCGUAAAGCGCGUGUAGGCGGUUUGUUAAGUCUGAUGUGAAAGCCCCGGGCUCAACCUGGGAAGUGCGUUGGAAACUGGUAGACUUGAAUACGGGAGAGGGUAGUGGAAUUCCUGGUGUAGGAGUGAAAUCCGUAGAUAUCAGGAGGAACACCGGUGGCGAAGGCGGCUACCUGGACCGAUAUUGACGCUGAGACGCGAAAGCGUGGGGAGCAAA
Molecule: ribosomal RNA, 735 nt
Filed under: uncultured bacterium
Lineage: Bacteria
Description: bacterial SSU rRNA
Rfam family: Bacterial small subunit ribosomal RNA
Source: RNAcentral